RNAcentral lists this ribosomal RNA (1410 nucleotides) under uncultured Cyanobacterium sp. Its description in RNAcentral is "bacterial SSU rRNA". It matches the Rfam family "Bacterial small subunit ribosomal RNA". Lineage: Bacteria; Bacillati; Cyanobacteriota; Cyanophyceae; Chroococcales; Geminocystaceae. The record is from RNAcentral.
UAACACAUGCAAGUCGAACGGUCUUUUAGGAGACAGUGGCGGACGGGUGAGUAACGCGUAAGAAUCUACCUUCAGGUUGGGGACAACCACUGGAAACGGUGGCUAAUACCGAAUGUGCCGAGAGGUGAAAGGCUUGCUGCCUGAAGAAGAGCUUGCGUCUGAUUAGCUAGUUGGUAGUGUAAGAGACUACCAAGGCGACGAUCAGUAGCUGGUCUGAGAGGAUGAUCAGCCACACUGGGACUGAGACACGGCCCAGACUCCUACGGGAGGCAGCAGUGGGGAAUUUUCCGCAAUGGGCGAAAGCCUGACGGAGCAAUACCGCGUGAGGGAGGAAGGCUCUUGGGUUGUAAACCUCUUUUCUCAGGGAAGAACAGAAUGACGGUACCUGAGGAAUAAGCAUCGGCUAACUCCGUGCCAGCAGCCGCGGUAAUACGGAGGAUGCAAGCGUUAUCCGGAAUGAUUGGGCGUAAAGGGUCCGCAGGUGGCAUUGUAAGUCUGCUGUUAAAGAGUUUGGCUCAACCAAAUAAGAGCAGUGGAAACUACAAAGCUAGAGUGUGGUCGGGGCAGAGGGAAUUCCUGGUGUAGCGGUGAAAUGCGUAGAUAUCAGGAAGAACACCAGUGGCGAAGGCGCUCUGCUAGGCCGAGACUGACACUGAGGGACGAAAGCUAGGGGAGCGAAUGGGAUUAGAUACCCCAGUAGUCCUAGCCGUAAACGAUGGAUACUAGGCGUAGCUCGUAUCGACCCGAGCUGUGCCGGAGCUAACGCGUUAAGUAUCCCGCCUGGGGAGUACGCAGGCAACUGUGAAACUCAAAGGAAUUGACGGGGGCCCGCACAAGCGGUGGAGUAUGUGGUUUAAUUCGAUGCAACGCGAAGAACCUUACCAAGGCUUGACAUGUCACGAAUCCUAUUGAAAGAUGGGAGUGCCUUCGGGAGCGUGAACACAGGUGGUGCAUGGCUGUCGUCAGCUCGUGUCGUGAGAUGUUGGGUUAAGUCCCGCAACGAGCGCAACCCUCGUUUUUAGUUGCCAGCAUUAAGAUGGGCACUCUAGAGAGACUGCCGGUGACAAACCGGAGGAAGGUGGGGAUGACGUCAAGUCAGCAUGCCCCUUACGUCUUGGGCUACACACGUACUACAAUGCUCCGGACAAAGGGCAGCUACACAGCGAUGUGAUGCGAAUCUCAUAAACCGGAGCUCAGUUCAGAUCGAAGGCUGCAACUCGCCUUCGUGAAGGAGGAAUCGCUAGUAAUUGCAGGUCAGCAUACUGCAGUGAAUUCGUUCCCGGGCCUUGUACACACCGCCCGUCACACCAUGGAAGUUGGUCACGCCCGAAGUCGUUACCCCAACCUAUUGGAGGGGGAUGCCUAAGGUAGGACUGAUGACUGGGGUGAAGUCGUAACAAGGUAGCCGUA